UUGUGCUUGCACAGAUGACGACCGGCGCACGGGUGCGUAACGCGUAUAGAACCUACCUUUUACAGAGGAAUAGCCUUUAGAAAUGAAGAUUAAUGCCUCAUAGUAUUGUAGACUGGCAUCAGUUUAUAAUUAAAGAUUUAUCGGUAAAAGAUGGCUAUGCGUCCUAUUAGUUAGUUGGUAAGGUAACGGCUUACCAAGACAGCGAUAGGUAGGGGUCCUGAGAGGGAGAUCCCCCACACUGGUACUGAGACACGGACCAGACUCCUACGGGAGGCAGCAGUGAGGAGUAUUGGACAAUGGAGGAGACUCUGAUCCAGCCAUGCCGCGUGUAGGAAGAAUGCCCUAUGGGUUGUAAACUACUUUUAUACAGGAAGAAACACUGGUAUGUAUACCAGCUUGACGGUACUGUAAGAAUAAGGACCGGCUAACUCCGUGCCAGCAGCCGCGGUAAUACGGAGGGUCCGAGCGUUAUCCGGAAUCAUUGGGUUUAAAGGGUCCGCAGGCGGUCGAUUAAGUC
Molecule: ribosomal RNA, 517 nt
Filed under: uncultured Polaribacter sp.
Lineage: Bacteria; Pseudomonadati; Bacteroidota; Flavobacteriia; Flavobacteriales; Flavobacteriaceae
Description: bacterial SSU rRNA
Rfam family: Bacterial small subunit ribosomal RNA
Source: RNAcentral